CCAGCUCAUGCUCCUUACUCCAAUCCACCGCCUGACUUUACUACAAAACUCAGCUCAUUCUUCCUUUGCUUAUUUAGCUGAGAGAAGGGAGGAAAAAUUUCUGAAAAAUUGGAAAAUGAUCUUUCUUCAAUGUUUGGAUGUUGGGGGAUUUCACGAGAUAGAGGAAAGGAGAGACGAAGAUGCUUAGUUGUGAAGGCAGGCUUGCUUGAUGACGGUAGGGGAGGCGAGCUCGCAAUGGCUACCCGACCCUUUCGUCGAGAGGGGCUUGAGGAAGAGCUUGUAGAGGAAGAAAUGACGAAGCUCAACCACCGAAGGAAGCAAGGGAGGAGAUGGUACAGAUUGCUGUCGAUUUUGUCGGAGUUUGAGUCGGCGUCAGUCGAAAAUCGACGAAGGUCCUCCGCCUUUGGCCCCCGGUUACCUUAUUCUCCCUUUUGAUUUUAUACUAACAACUUCAUCUGCACGUUACGCGAGAUUAUUAUUUGAUUAUGUAUUUUAUAUAUGCAUCAUUAGAUUGUAAUUCUAUUAUAUUGUGCUUGAAAUAAGUUAAUAUUAUGAAUUAAUUAAUUUUAUAUAGUUUUUUUUCUUUUUGAGAAUUUUCAUGAUUUAUUAUGGUUAUCUAAUUAAUGUGGCGAGUUAAUAAAUGUAAAUCAUGUAAUAAAUGAAAGUACUUAAUUUAUAUCAAUGGAUAUGUAAAGGGUCAAGCCAUGAAGAGCUGAGGUUGAAAAUUA
Non-coding RNA from Punica granatum (pomegranate), 728 nucleotides. Lineage: Eukaryota; Viridiplantae; Streptophyta; Magnoliopsida; Myrtales; Lythraceae. The record is from RefSeq and is a predicted model, not a curated record.